AAAAAGAAUAGAUUUGCCGUAGACAGUAGGUGCUAAAAGCUUAAUUUCCUACCGAGGUUUUAGAUAAAUUGAAAUUACUAAAGCUUUUGUUGUCUUGUUUUGCCAUCAAAAGCUUUUUUA
This 120-nucleotide small RNA is filed under the name uncultured Romboutsia sp. RNAcentral describes it as "Ribosomal protein L10 leader". It matches the Rfam family "Ribosomal protein L10 leader". From Rfam's summary of the family: This family is a putative r-protein leader autoregulatory structure found in B. subtilis and other low-GC Gram-positive bacteria. It is located in the 5' untranslated regions of mRNAs encoding ribosomal proteins L10 and L12 (rplJ-rplL). Lineage: Bacteria; Bacillati; Bacillota; Clostridia; Peptostreptococcales; Peptostreptococcaceae. The record is from RNAcentral.